This 253-nucleotide ribosomal RNA is filed under the name uncultured bacterium. RNAcentral's name for it is "partial 16S ribosomal RNA". It matches the Rfam family "Bacterial small subunit ribosomal RNA", at positions 524 to 776 of the family's 1533-position model. The record is from RNAcentral.
UACGGAGGGUGCGAGCGUUGUCCGGAAUCACUGGGCGUAAAGGGCGCGUAGGUGGCCGAGCAAGGUUGCGGUGAAAGCCCGGGGCUCAACCCCGGGUCGGCCGUGGCAACUACUCGGCUUGAGCUUACUAGAGGCAGAUGGAAUUCCGGGUGUAGCGGUGGAAUGCGUAGAGAUCCGGAAGAACACCGGUGGCGAAGGCGGUCUGCUGGGGUAAUGCUGACACUGAUGCGCGACAGCGUGGGGAGCAAACAGG